UUGGCAUGCUGUCCUUUUUAUUGCCAUCAUGUGCCAUAGAGCAUUUUGGUGUUUUGCCUUGGGUUCCUGUGUUGCCUACCAUGGAAAUGGUAUUCGAUUAUCUUGGAAUAUUUGUUCCAUCCAGGUUCUCUUUGCGGGGAUGAUGGUGGAUUAGUGCAAUGCAUGUGUUCCACUUUAGUUUUGUCUUGUGAAACUACUGUGGUAUGUAAUGCAAUUGUUGUUCUUUUGGAUGCAGCGAGUGCAUGCAAUGAACGUGGCUUCGAUUGUCUCGUUUAGUUAUAAAUCUGUGGUUGCCUUAGAAUGACUUUUGCCUUGGUGCGUGCACCAUGAGCGCGGUCAUGAAUGGAUGCUA
Molecule: unclassified non-coding RNA, 352 nt
Filed under: Lackeya multiflora
Lineage: Eukaryota; Viridiplantae; Streptophyta; Magnoliopsida; Fabales; Fabaceae
Description: partial external transcribed spacer
Source: RNAcentral